RNAcentral lists this ribosomal RNA (301 nucleotides) under uncultured bacterium. Its description in RNAcentral is "partial 16S ribosomal RNA". It matches the Rfam family "Bacterial small subunit ribosomal RNA", at positions 509 to 809 of the family's 1533-position model. The record is from RNAcentral.
CAGCCGCCGCGGGAAUACGUAGGGUGCAAGCGUUAAUCGGAAUUACUGGGCGUAAAGCGUGCGCAGGCGGUUUGUUAAGACAGAUGUGAAAUCCCCGGGCUUAACCUGGGAACUGCAUUUGUGACUGGCAAGCUAGAGUCUGGCAGAGGGGGGUGGAAUUCCGCGUGUAGCAGUGAAAUGCGUAGAGAUGUGGAGGAACACCGAUGGCGAAGGCAGCCCCCUGGGCCAAUACUGACGCUCAUGCACGAAAGCGUGGGGAGCAAACAGGAUUAGAUACCCCGGUAGUCCCUGUCUCUUAUAA